RNAcentral lists this ribosomal RNA (412 nucleotides) under uncultured bacterium. RNAcentral describes it as "partial 16S ribosomal RNA". It matches the Rfam family "Bacterial small subunit ribosomal RNA", at positions 360 to 773 of the family's 1533-position model. The record is from RNAcentral.
AAUAUUGCGCAAUGGAGGGAACUCUGACGCAGCGACGCCGUGUGAGCUAUGAAGGGCUUCGGAUCGGAAAGCUCUGUCCUUGGGGAAGAGGGGAGCCGUAAGGCUUCUUGCGGGUACCCAUGGAGGAAUCACCGGCUAACUACGUGCCAGCAGCCGCGGUAAUACGUAGGGGGCAAGCGUUGUCCGGAAUUAUUGGGCGUAAAGGGUGCGUAGGCGGCCCUUUAAGUCAGAUGUGAAAGCCCACGGAUUAACCGUGGGACUGCAUUUGAAACUGGAGGGCUUGAGUGUCGGAGAGGGCAGUGGAAUUCCCAGUGUAGCGGUGGAAUGCGUAGAUAUUAGGAGGAACACCAGUGGCGAAGGCGACUUUCUGGACUGUAACUGACGCUGAGGCACGAAAGCGUGGGUAGCGAAC